RNAcentral lists this ribosomal RNA (439 nucleotides) under uncultured bacterium. RNAcentral describes it as "bacterial SSU rRNA". It matches the Rfam family "Bacterial small subunit ribosomal RNA", at positions 28 to 507 of the family's 1533-position model. The record is from RNAcentral.
GAUGAACGCUGGCGGUAUGCCUAACACAUGCAAGUCGUACGAGAGUUUUUAACUCUAGUGGCGGACGGGUGAGUAACACGUGAGAAUUUGCCUUUAGGAGGGGAUAACAAUUGGAAACGAAUGCUAAUACCCCAUAUGCUUUUGAGUGAAAUGGAUUUUAUCCGCCUAGAGAGAAGCUCGCGGCUGAUUAGCUUGUUGGUAAGGUAAGAGCUUACCAAGGCGACGAUCAGUAUCUGGUUUGAGAGGACGAUCAGACACACUGGAACUGAGACACGGUCCAGACUCCUACGGGAGGCAGCAGUGGGGAAUUUUCCGCAAUGGGCGAAAGCCUGACGGAGCAAUACCGCGUGAGGGAAGACUGCCUAUGGGUUGUAAACCUCUUUUUUCAGGGAGGAAUAAAUGACGUGUACCUGAAGAAUAAGCAUCGGCUAACUCCGUG